This is a long non-coding RNA of Cercocebus atys (sooty mangabey), 1222 nucleotides long. RefSeq lists it as uncharacterized. NCBI's taxonomy places the organism in Eukaryota, Metazoa, Chordata, Mammalia, Primates, Cercopithecidae. The transcript has 4 exons. The record is from RefSeq and is a predicted model, not a curated record.
UCUGUACGCUCCUUGCUGCUGCUGUGUGAAGAAGGACAUCUUUACUUCCCCUUCUUAUUUUUCCAUGUCAUGAGCUACCCUGUGAAGAGGCCAAUAUGACAAAAGACGAAGAAAGACCUCUGGACAACAGCCAGCAAGGAACCGAGGCCCUCAGUCCUCCAGCUUAUGAGGAAGGGAAGCCUCUAACAACUCCGAAAGAGAAGCCGUUAGAUCAUCAAGAAGUGAGCUGAGACAACUUCAAGUUCAGCACCUACGGGAGUUGGAACCAAGGGAGAAGUGUCUCUUCGAAAAGUCAAAAACAGUAAGGGAGACCAAGAUGCAUAGAGCAAGAGAUGGGAUGAAACAUAUGCUGGUUUCUCAUGAAAGUUACAAAACUCUAUUGGGGUGUGUGUGUGUGUGUGUGUGUGUGUGUGUGUGUGUGUGUUUCAGGGGCAAUGCUGGUAAUGGGGAGCUCUCAGUGUUAAAUAUUAAAUAUAUAGCAAAGAUAGAAAAAUGAUGACUUGGGACAAGCUAUUGAAAUAAUAACUUGAUGUCUAGCAGAUCAGGAUGCUUUUGAAUAAUCUGAUGUGGGGAAACAAAACAGCCAGUAAAUUGUGAGGGAGUAAAGGUAAAAGUUAAGCUAGUCUAUAUGCAUUACUAUUUAUUCACUCAUUUACUGUUUUCAUUCAUUUAUUUGACACAUACUUGUUGAGCAUCUACUGGGGCUGGGCAUCUUUUAGAAAAUGGGAACACCAAUGAAUCAGACACUGCCCUACCCUCAUGGAUCUUAUAAAAGCUAUUCUUUGACAAGAUGAGACUUUCCUUCUUCAAUUCUGGUAAAUUCAGUGGACCAUAUAAUUCAUUUCAAACUGUUUUCAUGUAGGAGAGAUUUGUGUAUGAUUGAGAGCAAGGAAAAGAGGCUUAGAAGGGGAAUUCAAACAUUGAAGACACAAAAGAAAAAAUAAAUAAUAAAAUACUGUGAUCUCUUUGAAAUUGAGAAUUAGAUGAAAUGAAAGAAAUAUAAAAAGGUAGUUUGGCCCUGUGGGGAAGAUGAGCUGUUCUUCCUCUGACACAGAAAAGAAGGAAGAAAGAACAUGCUGGAAGCAGAGCAAAGAAGAGAGGCUUAUGUUUCCAUACAAGAAUUUUGGGAUCCACGUGGAGUGCAAGAGGUUGGAAAAGGAGGUCUCAAAAAAUAAAAUGUUCGGUGGGGCGCAGUGGCUUACGCCUCUGAUCCCUGCACUUC